RNAcentral lists this long non-coding RNA (196 nucleotides) under Jaculus jaculus (lesser Egyptian jerboa). Its description in RNAcentral is "FTX transcript, XIST regulator conserved region 5 (ENSJJAG00000009528.1)". It matches the Rfam family "FTX transcript, XIST regulator conserved region 5". The record is from RNAcentral. Lineage: Eukaryota; Metazoa; Chordata; Mammalia; Rodentia; Dipodidae.
AGCUGAAUCAUAGCAAGAGUUCCUAGUAGUAGCAGUGCUGAGGCAGUGUGGAGAGAGCAACGACACAGAGGCGCCUGAGUGGUAGCUGCCAUUAUAGGCAGCAGUGAACUCCAGGUAGGAAACCUGCUAUACUUUUAAGCCGCAGAGCCAAUGCCAGAUACCCACGGCCUCCAACAAAAUGCUGCAGUGUGCAUCA